AAAAACAUACAUCAUCACCAGCAUGAGACUGGAGGCAUGAGCAUUACACUGUCACAUACAUACAUACAUGCGAAAAAUGAAAAAUCAUCUAAACGCUUCAACAAACCGGUCUGUUCUCUGCGUUUCGAUGUAGUAGAAUAACCAGCGUCCAUGACUGAUGAUGAAUCAUAUGCUCCCCAUCCUCCACUUUAAACGAAAUCUUUUAAAAAAAAAAAACAGAACAUAAAGCUAAAAAAAAAAUUCUUUUUUUUAAGAAAAGGAAACUAUAUAGUAGAUAUAUAUAUAUAUAUAUAUAUAUUGCCUGGCUCUAUCCUGUCUGCCUUUUACCCACAAAACACAGAGGAAGAGAGAGUGAAGAGAGCUACAUUGUGUUUGUUGACCCCGCUCUCGCUCAAUCAGAAGACUCAUCUGUGAAUGCACCAAAAUGGCCUCCAAAUCCGACGGUGAACGAGGGUAGUUUGGUCAUUGCAGGACAAAGACAUGUCCUUUUCCUUCCUCUGAGGAAGCUUACACCCGAAGGCGAAGGGCAUUGCCAUUUCCAUUUCUCUCAAGUGAACAAAGAGGUGUAAGACUAAAAGGCUGAGGUUGUCUGGCUUUUAGGAGGUAGCUUCUAAUGGGUGAGGUAAGGACUAAAAGUGGAAAUUGAUUGGCACUGGCUCACACUUUGUUAUAUAAGAGAAGGAGAGAAUCAUUUGGGUGGGUAUUUUGGAUUUGAAGAGGCCAGGCCAGGCCGGUGAAAAGCCAUUUUCAACCCUUUUCCCUUUGUCCCUCUGUCCGGUAAUACUCCCCGUUUUGUCUCUCCCUCUCACCCCACUUUCUA
This 820-nucleotide long non-coding RNA is filed under the name Citrus sinensis (sweet orange). RNAcentral describes it as "long non-coding RNA (CSIN_LNC001413)". The record is from RNAcentral. Lineage: Eukaryota; Viridiplantae; Streptophyta; Magnoliopsida; Sapindales; Rutaceae.